Long non-coding RNA from Physeter macrocephalus (sperm whale), 1987 nucleotides. RefSeq lists it as uncharacterized. The transcript has 3 exons. NCBI's taxonomy places the organism in Eukaryota, Metazoa, Chordata, Mammalia, Artiodactyla, Physeteridae. The record is from RefSeq and is a predicted model, not a curated record.
UACAUCAGAGUUUCCCAAAUUAUAUUUCGCAAAACACAGGUCCCAUAAGACAUUUUUUCAAAAAGCAGCCUGGGGCAGCAGUGUAGGAAAAGCUGCCCACCACACCCAGUGGUGGAGAGUCACAAGGCACAGCAGCAUAUGAAGGGUUCUGAGAAGCUGUACCUUCAAAACACUGAUAGCAGCAUUUCUCAAACGAGUUUGACCAUGAAACCCUCUCUUCUAGUUUCACCUACUAACAUCUGCUGAUUCACUUAGCAUUCUGAGGUACAAACUUUUGAAACAUUAGAAUAAACGAUCUCUUAAACGCAUUGAUUUUAUAGCAUCUUAAAGCAGAAAAUAGUCUUAGAAAUCAGAGGGCCAUGAGGUUAAGAUCUCAUAGCUAGUCAAUGGCCAAACUAGGUCCCUUUCAGUUGCCAAUUUUUCACAUUCUAUGUGCUAACAAUCACAGUGAAUGAAAUUUUACUGUGAGGAAGUUUAGAAAAAGUGUCAGUAAUUGAAAUCUACAGAUAAUCUUAAAGCUCCAGGGUUUCCACUUUUGGUAAAACUCUGUUGUUUAAAGUUACUCCUGAUGAAGCAAAACUAAUGGUGUGUGUCCAUAGGCUGGUGGAGAUGCUACCGAGCAGAGAAUUAUCCACAAUUCAAGAAGCUAAUGAGAAUGGGGGAAGGAGAAACAAAUGGCACUGAGUCCAAAGCCAAGUUCAACGUCUCUCCAUCUGUUUGAGAGAAAGACAAGUCAGAAUUUUCCUGGAUUCAGCCCCAUGACCUCUCCAGAAAUUCCAACAUAACUGAACACGAUAUGAAUAUCUAUAUGCAUUUGACACUGAAACAGAUAGUAGUUUUCAUUGGUUGCUUCUACAGCCUUGUUGCUUCCUGUCUUCUCUAUUUCUAAGAGGACCCUGUGAUUUAGGGUGUCCCAGGAGUUUCAGAAAGACAUUUUACAACCACAUGAGGCUGGUCUGUUGAAAUCAGUGUUACUUUGAGGAGGCAUUGCUAAGAAACCAAGAGAGAGAAACCAGGUCCUGGGAAUGUCAUUUGAGCUGCUGGAUCACUCACCUGUCGCUAGCUCUAGAUCUGGUUAUUUUAGUAUAUGAUUAAGUAAAUAUUUGUAUUAUUUAAGCCAUUUAGUAUUCUAUUAUUUACUGCCACACGUAUCUCAAUACCUCUUAUGAUGCUGAUUGUGAGUUUCAUAAAUUUUGACUUUGCCUUUGGAUCAAAGUCCAUUUUAAAGUUGGUUCCAAAAGGCUUUUCUUUUUUUUUUUUUUUUUUUUGGUGGUACGCAGGCCUCUCACUGCUGUGGCCUCUCCCGCCGCAGAGCACAGGCUCCGGACACGCAGGCCCAGCGGCCAUGGCUCAUGGGCCCAGCCGCUCCAUGGCAUGUGGGAUCUUCCCGGACUGGGGCACGAACCCAUGUCCCCUGCAUCGGCAGGCGGACUCUCAACCACUGCGCCACCAGGGAAGCCCCAGAAGGCUUUCUUUAAUCACUCAUUCUAACAAGAAACUCUACCCAAAGCACAUAGUACUUACUGUGUAUGUGCCUUAUUUGACACAAAAUCCUACAUAGCAAUGCCCAGGCUAAUGAAAUGAAUGAAUUUCACUAACAUAUUUUAUUGUCAAAAACUUUAUUAUUAGAGAAAUAAAUAAUACAAGUGUAUUAGAAUAGAUUCCUUCCAAUCCACCCUAUAUUAAAUUUCAUGUAGCCAUUUUUUGGUAUUAUCAUGUAAUUUUUAUUUAAUUUUUACAUUCAGUGGAGAUAUGCAAAAUAUUUAACAAUCAGUUUGGCAUAAGCACUUGACCAAUCAGAUUGGAUGUCUGACCAAUCCGAAUUAAAAGCCAACCAAUCAGAACAGACACCUGACCCAUCAGAAAAGAUGAAGUGUGUGUCUGCCAGAUAUCUGCCUCCCAUUUAUCAUUGAACUUUUCGCUUGUGGGAUCUCCCCUCAGUUACCUGGGAAGCAAACUGAGGGCAGGGACCACAUGAUAGAUACCU